UACGUAGGUGGCAAGCGUUGUCCGGAUUUACUGGGCGUAAAGAGCGCGCAGGCGGUCGUUUAAGUCGAAUGUGAAAGCCCCCGGCUCAACUGGGGAGGGUCAUUCGAUACUGAUCGACUUGAAGGCAGGAGAGGGAAGUGGAAUUCCGGGUGUAGUGGUGAAAUGCGUAGAUAUCCGGAGGAACACCAGUGGCGAAGGCGGUCUGCUGGGCCGUUGCUGACGCUGAGGCGCGACAGCGUGGGGAGCAAACAGG
Molecule: ribosomal RNA, 253 nt
Filed under: uncultured bacterium
Lineage: Bacteria
Description: partial 16S ribosomal RNA
Rfam family: Bacterial small subunit ribosomal RNA
Source: RNAcentral